Molecule: long non-coding RNA, 205 nt
Filed under: Eucalyptus grandis
Lineage: Eukaryota; Viridiplantae; Streptophyta; Magnoliopsida; Myrtales; Myrtaceae
Description: long non-coding RNA (EGRA_LNC007102)
Source: RNAcentral
CUACACCGUCUCCAGGCGCGACCCCUUGCAGCGCUAGGUCGUCGACGCCGUCGUGCGGUGCAAACCAGAGCCUUGAAGCCGACUCGCGCAUCUCGCCGCGGACAGGUAACGACACUCGACUCCACAGCCACCGUCCGUUGCAUCACCGCCGCCAAUCGCUCCCUCCGCGAAACCCUAACCCCUCACCGAGAAGACCCGUUACGUC